CUACACCAUAACAUUUCCAUUCCAGUCAAGCAAUGUACAGACGAAGGGAAACAAUACGACAAUAAACAAACUUCUUUUAACCGUCCGCAUUUUGUGGUUUAAUGCAAAAUAAACUACACGGAUUCUUAAAGCAAACAAUCCCGCGACGUUUACAACCAACCCUGCGUGUGUAUACAACGUCUCGUCGCCGUGGAAACGCCGUUCCCGCACGUCUGACGCAAGGACGUCACGACGAUUGGUACUUUUUUUGUUUUUGCUGCCUAGCAACCGGUUUCCGUGGUAACCCUUAAAGGGGCGGCACAGUGGUUUAAUGUUGUCUGUGAGGUUUCACAGACGAGGGAAAGUGCGCUUCCAUGUUUGCAUUCUUUAGACUUUUACGAGCUCUUCAGAGGCGAGUAUUUCGGUUUUUAACAUUUAGACCACACAAAGACUUACUUUAGUUGCCAUUUAUUUUUGCAGCAAGUCCCAUUAGCCAUGUAGCCAGUGUGCUAAUCGUCCCGUUUAACUGUGCAACGUUGCAAACGAAUGGUAGCUGUCAUCGUGCUAAAACAGUAACGUUAAAUUACAGAUCUGCACUGUAUCAUAAUCAUGUUCGCACGCUCGAUUAUAGAGACAAACAUCUCGAGAAGUGUAUAAUCUGUCGGAGAGUUAGUCUGCAGUAGUCUCCUGCAGUCUUGUGAGCCAAGACAGGCUGCUAGAGAAGAAUAAAACAGUUUCACAAUCGGAAGUCGUACUUUCUUUAUCUUUUACGCUUCUGAUGCCAACUAGUUUGACUGUUUCUGUUAAGUAAUUUUGGGUUUGCAUAAAGACCAACGGCUGUGGCUAGUUUGUUGAAGUAACUUUAACUUUAUCAUGUGGUGAAUUUAGGCGUCUUUGUUUUAAAGUCGUUGAUGUUGUAUAAAACAACAACCCACCCAUAACAAACCAGUUAUAAAACUAUAAGACUAAAGAUAUAUACAAAGUCCAUUUAGUGUUUAUUGUACAGUAUUAUCUACAUGAUAACUAGGUAUCUACAAUCAACAUAAAAUAGUGAUGUCAGUUUAUUGCAAUUAAUUAGGAAAUUAAAGAAAAAAAAUCAAUUAAUCAUGCCCUUUGACCCUGUAUGUAAAUUCCAUAAUAAUACAUUAAAGCAAUUAAAGCUUGAAGCAGGUUAUGGUAAGUCACAUAAGUACAAGUAAUAAGUAUAAGGACCAUGCUUUGAAAUGACUGAUUUAAGAGAUGCAGUUUGUGCUGUAAAUAAACUGAAAAAGCGAAUAUUGAUAAAAAAGUAUUCCAUUGGCAGUCUAGCUAUUCAAAAGACAGAAACUGUGGUGAGAAACUAUAUGCUAUGAAGUUCAAAAAAUGACUCACAGACCUGCAGUGUGAACUGAUUGGCACUGCAAGUCAUUAAAGCACUAGUAUGAAUGUACAGAAACGGAAGUGUAAAAAAUCUGAAAUAUUUCCAUUUCCAAGAUCAUCUUAAGAGCAUACAGGCCAAAGUUAUGAGGCAGCCUAAGGUUUAGGUUUUAUAUUAAACCUACUUCAGCCUAUUUGUUUUAAUUUAUUUACAAUUUUUUUCAUACUUAUGAAUUUUAAAUAGUUUGUGCACCUAUGCUCUUUAAAAAAAAUAAAUAAAUAAAAACAUAUAGAAAUAAAAUGUAUUCUUUUUAAAUGUUUUGUUAAGUAAGUUAACCUACGAGAUGAUAUAUAGGCGGGUCAUUUGGCAUGCUGAUAUGGCCAGUAAUAAUGAACUAACUUGCAGGGAGAGUUUACCGAGGUGAUCAUCAUGUUUUGUUGUUUCUUAGGUGACUGGAGUUUGUGUGGUACUGGCAGAACAAUGAAUAGGAAAAUAUGUUUAUUUGCAUUUCAGUUCAAAUUGCCCAUUUUGGCUCCUGGCUUUUGGUUGUUUCAGUGCAUUCAUUUGGCUUUAUGCAAAAAUAAAGCUUUAAACCAUUUUCCUGUUUUGGCACUACUUCAGAGCCAUAUUGUUUGCUUUGGUUUGUUUGUUUUCUUGGAUUAACCCUUGCCAUCUUGCGCCAAAAAAAAGUUCCAUAAUGCUGGGGAGCGCUGUAUGUUUUGUUUACCCGACGCGUUCUGUUUUCGUCUCUCUGGUCUUUGUACAGUUUGAACUCCUGCAGCAAUCACGAGAGUGUCUUGUUUCCUGGGGAGGCGGGACAUGUUUGCCUGGUUCCCUGCCCAAAAUAUUUGUAACCAGGCAACAGCUAGGCCCAUCCCACAAUAGAGUUUACUCUUUGGGCUUGGACUGCCAUGUUUGCACAGACGCAUGGAGUUGCAAAGAGCCGGAACAUCUUCAGUUGAACUGAAAGUGACUGUCUGCUGCUGUAACCUCCAUUAACACGGGGGUUUGUUUACACAGACUUUGGCUACCCGGCAGACAUUUUAGUUGCUGAAAAAAACAAUACUUGCUUUAUAAAGUGAGUGCAAUGCUAAUGAAUAAGGAAAUAGUUGAGAAUAUGAACUUGAAUGUUACCCUACUGAAAAAAAAAAGUUUUAUGUGGUCUGCAGGCUGGUUUUGAGCAGCGGUUUUCAGAUUUUCUUGUUUUAACCAAUGAAUUUACAUG
Molecule: long non-coding RNA, 2561 nt
Organism: Cyprinus carpio carpio
Lineage: Eukaryota; Metazoa; Chordata; Actinopteri; Cypriniformes; Cyprinidae
Source: Ensembl